GGUGGCUUGGUGGUAGAGUGCUUGCCUUGCAAGCAUGAGGUCCUGGGUUCGAUUCCUCAGCACCA
Molecule: transfer RNA, 65 nt
Filed under: Dipodomys ordii (Ord's kangaroo rat)
Lineage: Eukaryota; Metazoa; Chordata; Mammalia; Rodentia; Heteromyidae
Rfam family: tRNA
About the family: Transfer RNA (tRNA) molecules are approximately 80 nucleotides in length. Their secondary structure includes four short double-helical elements and three loops (D, anti-codon, and T loops). Further hydrogen bonds mediate the characteristic L-shaped molecular structure. tRNAs have two regions of fundamental functional importance: the anti-codon, which is responsible for specific mRNA codon recognition, and the 3' end, to which the tRNAs corresponding amino acid is attached (by aminoacyl-tRNA synthetases). tRNAs cope with the degeneracy of the genetic code in two manners: having more than one tRNA (with a specific anti-codon) for a particular amino acid; and 'wobble' base-pairing, i.e. permitting non-standard base-pairing at the 3rd anti-codon position.
Source: Rfam by way of RNAcentral